This 455-nucleotide ribosomal RNA is filed under the name uncultured Lachnospiraceae bacterium. RNAcentral describes it as "bacterial SSU rRNA". It matches the Rfam family "Bacterial small subunit ribosomal RNA", at positions 229 to 701 of the family's 1533-position model. Lineage: Bacteria; Bacillati; Bacillota; Clostridia; Lachnospirales; Lachnospiraceae. The record is from RNAcentral.
ACCCGCGUUGGAUUAGCCAGUUGGCAGGGUAACGGCCUACCAAAGCGACGAUCCAUAGCCGGCCUGAGAGGGUGGACGGCCACAUUGGGACUGAGACACGGCCCAGACUCCUACGGGAGGCAGCAGUGGGGAAUAUUGCACAAUGGGGGGAACCCUGAUGCAGCGACGCCGCGUGAGCGAAGAAGUAUUUCGGUAUGUAAAGCUCUAUCAGCAGGGAAGAAAAUGACGGUACCUGACUAAGAAGCCCCGGCUAACUACGUGCCAGCAGCCGCGGUAAUACGUAGGGGGCAAGCGUUAUCCGGAUUUACUGGGUGUAAAGGGAGCGUAGACGGCCAGGCAAGUCUGAUGUGAAAGGCAGGGGCUCAACCCCUGGACUGCAUUGGAAACUGUCAGGCUGGAGUGCCGGAGAGGUAAGCGGAAUUCCUAGUGUAGCGGUGAAAUGCGUAGAUAUUAGG